RNAcentral lists this ribosomal RNA (397 nucleotides) under uncultured bacterium. RNAcentral describes it as "partial 16S ribosomal RNA". It matches the Rfam family "Bacterial small subunit ribosomal RNA", at positions 523 to 918 of the family's 1533-position model. The record is from RNAcentral.
AUACGUAGGUGGCAAGCGUUGUCCGGAUUUAUUGGGCGUAAAGCGAGCGCAGGCGGUCUCUUAAGUCUGAUGUGAAAGCCCCCGGCUCAACCGGGGAGGGUCAUUGGAAACUGGGAGACUUGAGUGCAGAAGAGGAGAGUGGAAUUCCAUGUGUAGCGGUGAAAUGCGUAGAUAUAUGGAGGAACACCAGUGGCGAAGGCGGCUCUCUGGUCUGUAACUGACGCUGAGGCUCGAAAGCGUGGGGAGCAAACAGGAUUAGAUACCCUGGUAGUCCACGCCGUAAACGAUAAGUGCUAAGUGUUGGAGGGUUUCCGCCCUUCAGUGCUGCAGCUAACGCGUUAAGCACUCCGCCUGGGGAGUACGGCCGCAAGGCUGAAACUCAAAGGAAUUGACGGGG